CAGCCGCCACGGUAAUACGGAGGGGGCAAGCGUUGUCCGGAAUUAUUGGGCGUAAAGGGCUCGCAGGCGGUUUCUUAAGUCUGAUGUGAAAGCCCCCGGCUCAACCGGGGAGGGUCAUUGGAAACUGGGAAACUUGAGUGCAGAAGAGGAGAGUGGAAUUCCACGUGUUGCGGUGAAAUGCGUAGAGAUGUGGAGGAACACCAGUGGCGAAGGCGACUCUCUGGUCUGUAACUGACGCUGAGGAGCGAAAGCGUGGGGAGCGAACAGGAUUAGAGACCCCGGUAGUCCCUGUCUCUUAUAC
RNAcentral lists this ribosomal RNA (301 nucleotides) under uncultured bacterium. Its description in RNAcentral is "partial 16S ribosomal RNA". It matches the Rfam family "Bacterial small subunit ribosomal RNA", at positions 509 to 807 of the family's 1533-position model. The record is from RNAcentral.